Non-coding RNA from Myodes glareolus (Bank vole), 1734 nucleotides. Lineage: Eukaryota; Metazoa; Chordata; Mammalia; Rodentia; Cricetidae. The record is from RefSeq and is a predicted model, not a curated record.
CCUGUGUGUGAUUUUCUUUGGGCUUGCCAGUUGUGGGGUACUGGACGGGACAGAAACCCCAACAAGCCGGCCCCCUCAUGUUACAAGACAAGGCACCCUUGACUCACCUGUUCUAUUGCAACCCCAUAAAGGAACAUUAGUGGAGAUCAGAUUUUGAUGGACAAUGCUAUUGUUUUGAAAUAGCUCUAUUAAAGAAAUAGAAAUGUAAGUAAAUGGCUACCUUAGUGCUGACUUACUGUAGUAAGUGAUCUUCUAAACAACGAUUCUUUCUUAUUUGGGCAAUUUUCUUUUCCUUUUCUUUUCUUAAUUUUUUUUUACUGUAAAAGAGUAGAAUAUAAUGUUCUUAACUUGUUACUUUAGACAUUUACUUAACAAAUAUUAAUUGAUCAAUUAGAAGAUGCUGAGCAGUGAAAAACAGAGAAGGUAGAAAGUCCUGCACAUGGAGUUUGGGUAUUGUUUAGGAAAUGCAUAUGUCAAUAGAUAUUUAAAACUGUGUAGUCAGAUCUCUGAAAGCAAGGUGUUACUUCAUUUACCAGGAGGCCUUGGGCUCACAAAGGAAAGGAUAACACACGGAACAAUAGAUGGUGUGAAAUCAGGGCUCACCUGCAGGGAACACAUAGAGAGCCAGUUCAGUUCCGGCCUGUCUGCAACAUAUUGGCAGAGAGGCAAUUGGAGUUACACGGCAUUAAUUAAGACACACUAAAGAGGUCUUAAUCCUGAAAUCAGUGUGGAAUAAUUGGAGGAAUUCAACAUCCUCAUAAUUGAGUUUUAGAAAUGUUUCUCCAGCAUAGACAGUGUAGAAAAACAUGCUGGAAUUGGGAGAGUCAGAAAACAGCAAUGGAACUUACAAGAAAGAACAAUGUAAGUUCUGAACAAAAAUAACUACGGUAGGCAUGGAGAAUUAUGAGAAUGGAUUAAACUAUAGCAAACUAAUUGUAAUUUUCUUUUUAUUAUCACAAUUCCAAAGAAAAUUUUAUCUUUUAGCUGUAAUGCCCUUUUCCUAAAAUGGCUCUUGUCAUUUAUAUCACCAUGAUCAAAACUUAUCCAACAUCAUCAAGCAGAAAAACAAUUCUUGUUUGCUCUGGUUAUUAAUCUCAUCCCAUUUGCUCUUGCCAAAUUCAUCAGUUAUGCUUCUGACAGAAAAUAUAGAAAUUAAAAAAAAAUUCGAUAUGUAUCUUUACUGAAUUCUACAAGGCACCAGAGAUGCAAUGCUACAAAAGUAUAAGCAUUACUAACUCCCUAAUAUUGUCUGAGAGAUUCAAACUGGAUUUGACAUUUAUGCCUAAAAAUAAUAAAUAAAAAUAGAAGCAUAAGGUGUUAAGGACAAUAAUGACCUUGUGAACAAAGUUCUAGGUACUGCAUGCAAUUAUUGCAACUUUUAAUGUAAUUUCAGAAAUCAAGGAGACAACUACACAACAUGGAUGAAUGCUGACAAGCAUUGGGGGGGAUAUGUUGGGGUCUAGGAAAUCAACCUUGCUUCUUAUCUCCUAGCAGAGACCUGCAGGAACCAGGCUCCGGAACUCAUUAGCAUUUUCCUUUGUUUGUCAGCAAUCACAGACCCUCAGUAUUUACCUAUCAGCUGGAAAUGUCUCCGGACCUGAAUUCCAGCAGACCUGAGUUUCCUGACACCCUUCUCUUACCCCUGACACCUUUCCCUUCCUCCCCCCACCCCUUUGCCCAUUUGCUAUAUAACAGCUUCUGAGGAAAUAAUAAACUAUACGGCUUGAUCAGAAA